UAGGAAAGUCCGAAGCUUGUAAAACUAAAACUCAUAUUGAAGAGAGUAAAAGUAAAAAUUUUGGUAUUAAAGAGAAAAUAAAACCCAUCUUUUUUUUUUUAGUUAUAAUUAUAACUAAAUGUAUUAAUAAAAAAAGGAUAUAUAUAUAUCCUUUUUUAUUAUAGGCAGUAAAAGAAGGUUAUGAAACUACAAGCCUAAGUUAAGCCUUAUUUUAGUUUAAUAACUAUGACAGGAUCCGGCUUAA
Molecule: non-coding RNA, 244 nt
Filed under: Ciborinia camelliae
Lineage: Eukaryota; Fungi; Ascomycota; Leotiomycetes; Helotiales; Sclerotiniaceae
Source: RNAcentral